This 240-nucleotide unclassified non-coding RNA is filed under the name Hevea brasiliensis (rubber tree). Lineage: Eukaryota; Viridiplantae; Streptophyta; Magnoliopsida; Malpighiales; Euphorbiaceae. The record is from RNAcentral.
GUGUUCCCCAAGAGGAUGUCCGUGGUAGUCAUGUAAGGAUCCCCAUAGAAUCGAAGAUUAAUAUCCAUCCGCGGAACGACCACAUUUCCCUCCAGUGAGACACCAACAAAGGCACCUUUGCUGCAACUAUAGGUAUAGCACAUUCCAGAACCUCUAUCUCCGGCACGAAGAUCUGCUUCAAAAACCCUUCCAACUGGUCCAGCUGCAGCACUCAAACCAGCCCCAAGGGACAGAUGCAUU